Papaver somniferum (opium poppy) is the source of this 1833-nucleotide long non-coding RNA. RefSeq lists it as uncharacterized. Lineage: Eukaryota; Viridiplantae; Streptophyta; Magnoliopsida; Ranunculales; Papaveraceae. The record is from RefSeq and is a predicted model, not a curated record. The transcript is spliced from 2 exons.
CUGAGCAAGACCGCUGAAGAGUUUUUUGUUUUGUUUUUUUAAGAAAGGGAAGAGAAAGAGAGAGAAAAAAGAAUAACUAUUUUGAUUAUAAUUUUUCAAAGCUAAACUUACAGGGAAAAUUAUUAAGAAAAAAAAAUAGGCUGAAGGACAUAUAACCUCCUGAGAAUUCGAAGCUUUUCCCAUGAAGAAUAUAAUUGUUAAAAAAAAAAAUUCCCGUGAUCAUUGUUCAUGAACAAAUAAUGGUAAAAGAAAGUACAUCAAGCAAAACAAAAGCAAGUACGAUACGAUUGUAAAUCGGUGAUCUUUGGGUUUUUCCUGCAAACCCUAGAAACCAAUCUCAGCAAAAUCCACCAUUAUUCCUUCCAAUCUCUUUAGCUAAAACCUUAUUCCGCCGGCCCCAGGCACGAUGUAGUCAUCACGUUUUUACUGAGUGUCGAUCUGAUGUUGUCAUGGCGUAUUUCGAUUUGCUGCUGCUGCUUUCUGUUUUGAUUUAAUCAAUGGAUCUCCUCUUGACCCUAUGAUGGUUUCCUCUGAAGUCCAAAGAUUUUGUUUUUGCUGGAGUUCUUCUCAUCCUACCGAAGAUGGACUAUUCAAUUGAAUCUCAAAUUUUUCUUCCAUGGGUUUACGCAAGUUCUUCAACAGGAUGUCUCUCAACCUUGCCAUCUAUUGAUGCCGAUUUGCACUCCAAUUCCAAGGCAGGGGACUUGAGUUAUAUUUGGUUCAUGUGGCGUCCUUGGCACUCACACUUAAAUCCGUCAACCUUUUCAACCAACUGUGAGGAUUUUGAGAUCAUUUUACGCAUUCUUUUAUCUGAGCAAAUUCUUCUUUCAAGUCAAAGCCAACUCUUCAGACCUAGGAGGGAUUAUUGAAUACGGUGACCCAAUCUCUUUCCAUAAUGGUUACAGCAGCAUGCUUAUUAUGCUAAGAAUCAACCUGUCUCAACCUCUAGUUUUUGGUAUCUUAGCUCCAAUUAAAUAUCAUGGAGAUAACUGGAUUGCAUUCUGGCUUCUAGAAUUACCAAGAUUGCUUUGUAAUUACUGCAAUAGACUAGGGCAUACUCCUGAAGACUGCAUAGACUUCUUCCUCCUCAACCAUCCAAGAAUGCAGUCUCCAGAUCAAUACCAGAUAGUCCCCCAUGAGAUUAUGCCUAUUCCCGAAGAUAAUUUACAAAAGAAGACAGUUACAAUGUGGAAAUUAAUGGACCAGACUCAGAUUGUAGUGACUGGAGUCUAGAGAUGCACCCAUUCCAUGAUUCAUCUUCUCAAGAUCAAUCUGUAAUUUCUUGCUCGGAAGGGAAACAUACAUAUAGUGGAAUCAAUCCUGGAGGAUUCAAUUCAAAUAUGUCCACCGACUCGGAAUGAACUGAAUAGUCUUGAAUUGGUACCAGCAGCAACAACCAUCUGAGCAACUGCAGCAGCAAAGCCAUCUAAUAGUAACUUUCUGAGCAACUGCAACAACAACAACAGUAGCAUCAGCAGCAACUACCAGCCAUCCCAUCAAGCCAAGAUGGCACAUCAGCACAAGACGUGUAUACUCACUCAGCAUUAAGUAUGAUACUACAUCUAUGGGGCCGGUGGAACUCCACUCCUUUUGGUUUAUCAGCCUUUUUUUGCUUUCAUAGUUUGCCUUGUAUGUUACUAAGUCCAUGCAUCUAGGUUUACUUAUUGGUUUGCCUUUCUAUUAUUCUAUUCUACAGUGUCAACAUUUUGGAUUUAGGCCUUUUUUGAUAGUGUCUUUGUCAAAGUCAAUUAUAAGCCUUUUUUGUCUGAAGAUGUGUAAUCACAAAGUUAUUUUGAUCUAAUAGUGUUUAAGUAUUGUUUUUGACUGAUCUUA